RNAcentral lists this ribosomal RNA (721 nucleotides) under uncultured organism. Its description in RNAcentral is "bacterial SSU rRNA". It matches the Rfam family "Bacterial small subunit ribosomal RNA", at positions 83 to 823 of the family's 1533-position model. The record is from RNAcentral.
CGGAUACAGGGAGUGGCAAACGGCCGAGUAACGCGUAGGAACCUACCCCAAACUCGAGUAUAGCCCCGCGAAAGCGGGGGUAAUCCUCGAUAGCCCGUGAAGUAUUUUACUUCACGGUAAAGCUUUUGCGGUUUGGGAUGGGCCUGCGUCCUAUCAGGUAGUUGGUGAGGUAAAUGCUCACCAAGCCUAUGACGGGUAGCUGGUCUGAGAGGAUGGUCAGCCAGACUGGGACUGCGACACGGCCCAGACUCCUACGGGAGGCAGCAACUAGGAAUUGUGCGCAAUGGACGAAAGUCUGACGCCGCGACAUCGCGUGGAGGAUGAAGGUCUUCGGAUUGUAAACUCCUUUUCUUACCGAACAAGUUCUGAGUGUAGGUAAGGAAUAAGUGCCUGCUAACCACGUGCCAGAAGCAUCGGUAAUACGUGGGGCACGAGCGUGAUCCGGAUUUACUGGGCGUAAAGAGAAGCGUAGGCGGCUCGAUAAGUUUGGUGUUAAAUCUUCCGGCUCAACCGGAAACAAGCACCGAAAACUAUCGAGAUUGAGUCGAGUAGGGAAGAGGGGAAUUCCUGGUGGAGCGGUUAAAUGCGUAGAUAUCAGGAGGAAUACCAAGGGCGAAGGCACCUCUUUGGACUCGUACUGACGCUGAGGCUCGAAAGCGUGGGUAGCAAAACGGAUUAGAUACCCGUGUAGUCCACGCCGUAAACGAUCCCUGUUAGAUGU